Molecule: ribosomal RNA, 220 nt
Filed under: uncultured bacterium
Lineage: Bacteria
Description: partial 16S ribosomal RNA
Rfam family: Bacterial small subunit ribosomal RNA
Source: RNAcentral
UACGGAGGGAGCUAGCGUUGUUCGGAAUUACUGGGCGUAAAGCGCACGUAGGCGGCUUUUUAAGUCAGGGGUGAAAUCCCGGGGCUCAACCCCGGAACUGCCCUUGAAACUGGAGAGCUAGAAUCUUGGAGAGGCGAGUGGAAUUCCGAGUGUAGAGGUGAAAUUACUUAGAUAUUCGGAAGAACACCAGUGGCGAAGGCGACUCGCUGGACAAGUAUUG